CCUACGGGUGGCAGCAGUGGGGAAUAUUGGACAAUGGGCGAAAGCCUGAUCCAGCCAUGCCGCGUGUGUGAAGAAGGCCUUCGGGUUGUAAAGCACUUUCAGUGGGGAAGAAAGCCUUGGGGCUAAUACCCUCGAGGAAGGACAUCACCCACAGAAGAAGCACCGGCUAACUCCGUGCCAGCAGCCGCGGUAAUACGGAGGGUGCGAGCGUUAAUCGGAAUUACUGGGCGUAAAGCGCGCGUAGGCGGUCUGAUAAGCCGGUUGUGAAAGCCCCGGGCUCAACCUGGGAACGGCAUCCGGAACUGUCAGGCUAGAGUGCAGGAGAGGAAGGUAGAAUUCCCGGUGUAGCGGUGAAAUGCGUAGAGAUCGGGAGGAAUACCAGUGGCGAAGGCGGCCUUCUGGACUGACACUGACGCUGAGGUGCGAAAGCGUGGGUAGCAAACAGGAUUAGAUACCCGUGUAGC
RNAcentral lists this ribosomal RNA (464 nucleotides) under Vreelandella stevensii. RNAcentral's name for it is "partial 16S ribosomal RNA". It matches the Rfam family "Bacterial small subunit ribosomal RNA", at positions 338 to 794 of the family's 1533-position model. Lineage: Bacteria; Pseudomonadati; Pseudomonadota; Gammaproteobacteria; Oceanospirillales; Halomonadaceae. The record is from RNAcentral.